Molecule: ribosomal RNA, 497 nt
Filed under: uncultured bacterium
Lineage: Bacteria
Description: partial 16S ribosomal RNA
Rfam family: Bacterial small subunit ribosomal RNA
Source: RNAcentral
GAUGAACGCUGGCGGCGUGCCUAAUACAUGCAAGUCUAGCGAACAGACGAGGAGCUUGCUCCUCUGACGUUAGCGGCGGACGGGUGAUUAACACGUGGAUAAUCUACCUAUAAGACUGGGAUAACUUCGGGAAACUGGACCUAAUACCGGAGAAUAUAUUGCACCUCAUGGUUCAAUAGUGAAAUACGUUUUUGCUGUCAUUUAUAGAUGGAUCCGCGCCGCAUUAGCUAGUUGGUAAGGUAACGGCUUACCAAGGCAACGAUGCGUAGCCGACCUGAGAGGGUGAUCGGCAACACAAGAACUGAGACGGGGUCCAGACUCCUACGGGAGGCAGCAGUAGGGAAUCUUCCGCAAUGGGCAAAGGCCUGAGGGAGCAACACCGCGUGAGUGAAGAAGGUCUUCGGAACGUAAAACUCUGUUAUUAGGGAAGAAAAAAUAUGUCAGUAACUAUGCACGUCUUGACGGUAACUAAUCAGAAAGCCACGCAUAACUACGUG